This 450-nucleotide ribosomal RNA is filed under the name uncultured Longilinea sp. Its description in RNAcentral is "bacterial SSU rRNA". It matches the Rfam family "Bacterial small subunit ribosomal RNA", at positions 920 to 1378 of the family's 1533-position model. Lineage: Bacteria; Bacillati; Chloroflexota; Anaerolineae; Anaerolineales; Anaerolineaceae. The record is from RNAcentral.
CCCCGCACAAGCAGCGGAGCGUGUGGUUUAAUUCGAUGCUACACGAAGAACCUUACCAGGGUUUGACAUACAAGUAGUAGGGAAAGGAAACUGGACCGACCCUUCGGGGAGCUUGUACAGGUGCUGCAUGGCUGUCGUCAGCUCGUGUCGUGAGAUGUUCGGUUAAGUCCGCUAACGAGCGCAACCCUCGCUGUGUGUUACAAGUGUCACACGGAACUGCCGGUCAUAAACCGGAGGAAGGUGGGGAUGACGUCAAGUCAGCAUGGCCUUUAUAGGUGGGGCUACACACGUCAUACAAUGGCCGGUACAGAGGGUAGCCAACCCGCGAGGGGGAGCCAAUCCCACAAAGCCGGUCGUAGUCCGGAUCGCAGUCUGCAACUCGACUGCGUGAAGUCGGAAUCGCUAGUAAUCGUGGAUCAGCAUGUCACGGUGAAUACGUUCCCGGGUCUU